Molecule: ribosomal RNA, 1033 nt
Filed under: Metabacillus idriensis
Lineage: Bacteria; Bacillati; Bacillota; Bacilli; Caryophanales; Bacillaceae
Description: bacterial SSU rRNA
Rfam family: Bacterial small subunit ribosomal RNA
Source: RNAcentral
GCUAUACAUGCAAGUCGAGCGGACUUGAUGGAGCUUGCUCCAUUAAGUUAGCGGCGGACGGGUGAGUAACACGUGGGCAACCUGCCUGUAAGACUGGGAUAACUCCGGGAAACCGGAGCUAAUACCGGAUAGUAUCUUGAACCGCAUGGUUCAAGUUGGAAAGACGGUUUCGGCUGUCACUUACAGAUGGGCCCGCGGCGCAUUAGCUAGUUGGUGAGGUAAUGGCUCACCAAGGCAACGAUGCGUAGCCGACCUGAGAGGGUGAUCGGCCACACUGGGACUGAGACACGGCCCAGACUCCUACGGGAGGCAGCAGUAGGGAAUCUUCCGCAAUGGACGAAAGUCUGACGGAGCAACGCCGCGUGAGUGAUGAAGGUUUUCGGAUCGUAAAACUCUGUUGUUAGGGAAGAACAAGUGCGAGAGUAACUGCUCGCACCUUGACGGUACCUAACCAGAAAGCCACGGCUAACUACGUGCCAGCAGCCGCGGUAAUACGUAGGUGGCAAGCGUUGUCCGGAAUUAUUGGGCGUAAAGCGCGCGCAGGCGGUUUCUUAAGUCUGAUGUGAAAGCCCCCGGCUCAACCGGGGAGGGUCAUUGGAAACUGGGAAACUUGAGUGCAGAAGAGGAGAGUGGAAUUCCACGUGUAGCGGUGAAAUGCGUAGAGAUGUGGAGGAACACCAGUGGCGAAGGCGACUCUCUGGUCUGUAACUGACGCUGAGGCGCGAAAGCGUGGGGAGCGAACAGGAUUAGAUACCCUGGUAGUCCACGCCGUAAACGAUGAGUGCUAAGUGUUAGAGGGUUUCCGCCCUUUAGUGCUGCAGCUAACGCAUUAAGCACUCCGCCUGGGGAGUACGGUCGCAAGACUGAAACUCAAAGGAAUUGACGGGGGCCCGCACAAGCGGUGGAGCAUGUGGUUUAAUUCGAAGCAACGCGAAGAACCUUACCAGGUCUUGACAUCCUUUGCCACUUCUAGAGAUAGAAGGUUCCCCUUCGGGGGACAAAGUGACAGGUGGUGCAUGGUUGUCGUCAGCUC